UUUUUCUGUGGCAUUAAAACCAAUUAAACCAGCCUGGCAUGUGGAAUUGCUAGGCAGAAGCAGCUUAAUGCAGCUGUCACUGUAUCAAAAGGUUACAUGAAAAUGGAAAGACUAUUUGUGGUUAUACAGCAGAGCCUCCAGACCUUGAGGCAGAUAUGUCAGGGCCUUUCAUAGAACUGGUAAAUUGUACUAACUGUUUGCAUUGCAAAUAUUGGCAUUCUGGGGAUAUCAGCAAUGAACCGCUGGCUCAUGCUCAUGGACAAUUGUUCAACAUUUUCUACCACUACAAAAAGAAAAAGAAAAAGAAAAAGAAAAAGAAAAAAAAAAGCCUACAGUGUAGGAUUUACAUACUUAAAAGAAAAAGGCACAUUUGUCUAAAACAUACUCUACAGUGAAAUUUGUAUCUAUAGAUCUCAUUUGGUAAAACCUUGCAUCAUCCCUUCUAGUUGGUUCAACACCACAAAAAAUUGGUUUAACCUAUGGUAGCUGACAGAUGCAGACAUGAGCCAUGGACCUGCAGUUCCCUGGUGCCCAGCUGCUCUUGUCCUGUUAGUGCAAGUCUGAAGUUUCAAGGCUGGUGUUGAGUCACACCCAAUCAAGCGGUGAAGGUCUAGACCACAUGUGAGCCCUCGGAGGGCUCUUGCUAAAAGUCUUAAAGUACUUCCAUGAGAAAGGGCUCUCCUAAGGGCUGAAGGAAUGAUACUGUGGAGUAACUUUACUAUGUGAUCUAAGGUUUCUGGAUAUCUGCCCAUCUACCUGACACACGAUAUUGUGAACCUGCAAAUUAUGACCCUGGGGUUUCCCAGAACACCUGUCAGCACUCAUCAGAGGACAGAAGAGGUGUUGACAGCCUGCUCCAUGACCAACAUCAGCAGUGUAGGAAGAAUGCUGCCCACCUUCCCUGUAAGGUACAAUUCUCUCAAAUCACACUACCAUCAGUGGAGACAAGGGGUGGCACAACUCUUGCCCACAUUCAAACGGUAUUUUAUGCACGAUUGGCUGCUGCUGCCAGAUGACCCAGACACCAAGUGUCCCUGGCCAUCUGCCUGAGUCAUGGCAUCACUUCAUGAUCCUGUGUUUGCUAUCAGUGAUUGUGUGAGUUGCCAUAUGGGCAUAUUGUUGUUCAUCUUUCCUUCUGCUUCAUUAAAGCUUUGUUUUAUA
Molecule: long non-coding RNA, 1161 nt
Filed under: Aquila chrysaetos chrysaetos
Lineage: Eukaryota; Metazoa; Chordata; Aves; Accipitriformes; Accipitridae
Description: lncRNA (ENSACCG00020012205.1)
Source: RNAcentral